This 202-nucleotide unclassified non-coding RNA is filed under the name Hevea brasiliensis (rubber tree). The record is from RNAcentral. Lineage: Eukaryota; Viridiplantae; Streptophyta; Magnoliopsida; Malpighiales; Euphorbiaceae.
ACUCGCGAAAGACUCCUGCGAGAUUGAACGAAGGGCACCAGACAGAGAUCGAAACAAAAUGGAUUACAAACCAGCAAAUUGGGACCUGAGAGUGAAGGCGACGGAGAGUGUAGAUCUGAGGAAGAAAGAGGUGAAUGCUGGUUGGGAGUGAAGGGAGAGGGCAACUGGGCAAAGCGAUGGAUGUUGGGGCCGAUACGGGAGC